UACGAAGGGGGCUAGCGUUGCUCGGAAUCACUGGGCGUAAAGAGCUCGUAGGCGGUCUGUCGCGUCGGAUGUGAAAGCCCGGGGCUUAACCCCGGGUCUGCAUUCGAUACGGGCAGACUAGAGUGUGGUAGGGGAGAUCGGAAUUCCUGGUGUAGCGGUGAAAUGCGCAGAUAUCAGGAGGAACACCGGUGGCGAAGGCGGAUCUCUGGGCCAUUACUGACGCUGAGGAGCGAAAGCGUGGGGAGCGAACAGG
RNAcentral lists this ribosomal RNA (253 nucleotides) under uncultured bacterium. Its description in RNAcentral is "partial 16S ribosomal RNA". It matches the Rfam family "Bacterial small subunit ribosomal RNA", at positions 524 to 776 of the family's 1533-position model. The record is from RNAcentral.